AUUAGAAAAUGCUCCAUACCUUGGAGUGCAGUGGAGACAUAAGAAUAAUUUUAAAUGCAAAUUAAAUUGUGGGGGUAGCAAAGAGAACAGAUAAAAGACAGUAAAACAAAGCCUUUCACUUUCCUCAAAUUAGCAGGCUAAUGUAGUAUAAAAAAAAAGCAGUUCUACUCAGAUCUGUGCUAAGAGCUUUCAUUUCAUCAUAAUAUAAAACAGCAGAUCCAUCACCUUUCUCUAUUCAGUACUCUUCAUUUCGAGGUUGAAGUGAAAAUUAGAAGCUGUUCUUUCUGGCUCACAGACUGGGUUGCAUUUGCUUAGUCUUAUUCCAUGACAGUAGGAUGGAAAGAGGUCAGUAACACUGGAAUCUGACUGAUCGUUCAUACCGGAGUAUUGUACACAAACACAACGCACCUUCAAAAUGGACUACUUUUUGGAUGUCGAGUCUGCUCACAGACUGUUUUACAGUCAAGGAGCCCAAGCUCGCCGGGCAACUCUUCUCACUGUGCCCACUCUGGUGACAGCAACCUCUGAGGAUGACAUAGACCGGAGACCCAUCAGAAGACUCCGGUCUAAGAGUGACACCCCUUACUUGGAAGAAGCUCGGAUCUGCUUCAACCUUGAUAAUGGUAAGACCACACCUUCCCUAAACAGCAUAUGAUGUUAAUUAAAGACUUCUUUUUGAGAUGCAGAUGGACCAGAUGGUACCUCCUCGUUCACAAGUGAUGUGGUGGUUUACCAGACAUCCAAAGAUGCCAAGGCUGUCUAACUACAAGCACCUGCAUAUGUAUGAACAGGGUUCGUUUUCAAAAUUCCCCUGCAACUGCUAACUAAAACUUUUUCCCUGUUUUAGCCAGGGUGAGCUAGUGAGAUCACACCAAAACAGAAUUGAUUUGCAAACAAAAUAUGUCUUAUCAAUUCCAGGCAUCCAGAAACAUGAAAGUUCUGGAGAACGUUUAUGAAGGGAUUACAGAUAACAGCAGGCUUGAGCUAAAACCAAAGUUACAGCCAUUGAAGAACACGAGCACAACCCAAAACGUGAAUAGGACUAAUUGGCAAACAGAAAACUGGUUUUUGGUAACAAAUUGGUAACAGAAAACUCUUGACUCUGCAGGAAUGAGUAAGAGAGCCAUCCUUCAAAAUUCAGACCAACUGUUAUUAUCACUGCCUUCAGAGUUAGUGAGCCCCAACAUUCCUUCCCUGGUCUUUUAUUCUCAUUGAAGUUGAUCAAAACAAAAGAUUUUGGAAGUCCUGACAAUUUAGGGCCUUUAAGCAGAGUGGUUUUGGGUUUUUUUUAAACAAAAAGCCCUGAAUUAAAUGGCAUGAGCUAGUACACUGUUAGGCACAUAUUUUAACUGUCUAACUUUUACUUUACAUAGUACCUUUGUGCUACCUACUUUUUUAAAAUAGCAUUUUUAAUUAUUUAUAUUACACUAACCAACCAAAAUUGGAGCCCUAACGUGGCAGGCAGCCUAUAAACCACAGGAUAAGAACGUCUACAUUAAGAGCAGAUUACUACACAGAGAAACAGAGGUGCCACAAAUCACCGAGCCCGGUUUGCAGCCGGAGAACGGAGCCUCUGGUUUUUGCAGAUGGUCACAUUUUUCUCAAAGUCCUGCCGAAGCGACUGAGGAAGGCGAGCCCCGGGCUGUGAGUGACGGUCAGUUUCAAACGUUGAGUGCAGCCUCCUCAGUCCCCUUGGCAUUUUAAACUGCCAAGGUGUGGCACACCAUCCCGCUUUACGUAAUGGGUUUGCCCAAGGAAAGAGGGCAAGGGAUGCACCAUUAGACAUCCCACCAAGUCCUGAGGCAGCUCCACUGUGAGUCCUGGACGCCCUGGGCUAGAAGGGAGCAGCUCGGGGCGCCGGGCUUGCUGCGGGGUGGCACCUCUGCCGGCCAGGCCCAUCGGCGGCGUUCGGCACCUCAGCCGGGACCUCCCCCGGGGGCGGGAAAGGCGCUCGGCCGGACCCUGCCCGGGGC
Non-coding RNA from Cyanistes caeruleus (blue tit), 1973 nucleotides. NCBI's taxonomy places the organism in Eukaryota, Metazoa, Chordata, Aves, Passeriformes, Paridae. The record is from RefSeq and is a predicted model, not a curated record.